RNAcentral lists this ribosomal RNA (865 nucleotides) under Rothia aeria. Its description in RNAcentral is "bacterial SSU rRNA". It matches the Rfam family "Bacterial small subunit ribosomal RNA". Lineage: Bacteria; Bacillati; Actinomycetota; Actinomycetes; Micrococcales; Micrococcaceae. The record is from RNAcentral.
GACGAACGCUGGCGGCGUGCUUAACACAUGCAAGUCGAACGAUGAAGCGGUGCUUGCACCGUGGAUUAGUGGCGAACGGGUGAGUAAUACGUGAGUGACCUACCUUUGACUCUGGGAUAAGCCUGGGAAACUGGGUCUAAUACCGGAUACGACCAAUCUCUGCAUGGGGUGUUGGUGGAAAGCGUUAUGGAGUGGUUUUAGAUGGGCUCACGGCCUAUCAGCUUGUUGGUGAGGUAAUGGCUUACCAAGGCGACGACGGGUAGCCGGCCUGAGAGGGUGACCGGCCACACUGGGACUGAGACACGGCCCAGACUCCUACGGGAGGCAGCAGUGGGGAAUAUUGCACAAUGGGCGCAAGCCUGAUGCAGCGACGCCGCGUGAGGGAUGACGGCCUUCGGGUUGUAAACCUCUGUUAGCAUCGAAGAAGCGAAAGUGACGGUAGGUGCAGAGAAAGCGCCGGCUAACUACGUGCCAGCAGCCGCGGUAAUACGUAGGGCGCGAGCGUUGUCCGGAAUUAUUGGGCGUAAAGAGCUUGUAGGCGGUUGGUCGCGUCUGCUGUGAAAGGCCGGGGCUUAACUCCGGUUUUGCAGUGGGUACGGGCUAACUAGAGUGCAGUAGGGGAGACUGGAAUUCCUGGUGUAGCGGUGGAAUGCACAGAUAUCAGGAGGAAACACCGAUGGCGAAGGCGGGUCUCUGGGCUGUAACUGACGCUGAAAAGCGAAGCAUGGGGGAGCGAACAGGAUUUAGAUACCCUAGUAUUCCAAGGGCUAAUUCCCCAGUGGAUAUUAAGCUUAUCGAUACCGUGGCCUCGAGGGGGGGGCCUCGGUACCAGCUUUUGUGCGCUCAGUGGAGGGUUAAUUAAUUU